AGAGUUUGAUCCUGGCUCAGGACGAACGCUGGCGGCGUGCCUAAUACAUGCAAGUCGAGCGAAUCUGAGGGAGCUUGCUCCUGAAGAUUAGCGGCGGACGGGUGAGUAACACGUGGGCAACCUGCCCCUAAGAUUGGGAUAACUCCGGGAAACCGGUGCUAAUACCGAAUAGUUUCCAACGCCUCAUGGUGUUGGAAGGAAAGUUGGCUUCGGCUAACACUUAGGGAUGGGCCCGCGGCGCAUUAGCUAGUUGGUGAGGUAACGGCUCACCAAGGCAACGAUGCGUAGCCGACCUGAGAGGGUGAUCGGCCACACUGGGACUGAGACACGGCCCAGACUCCUACGGGAGGCAGCAGUAGGGAAUCUUCCGCAAUGGACGAAAGUCUGACGGAGCAACGCCGCGUGAGCGAAGAAGGCCUUCGGGUCGUAAAGCUCUGUUGUCAGGGAAGAACAAGUACCGUUCGAAUAGGACGGUACCUUGACGGUACCUGACCAGAAAGCCACGGCUAACUACGUGCCAGCAGCCGCGGUAAUACGUAGGCGGCAAGCGUUGUCCGGAAUUAUUGGGCGUAAAGCGCGCGCAGGCGGUCCUUUAAGUCUGAUGUGAAAGCCCACGGCUCAACCGUGGAGGGUCAUUGGAAACUGGAGGACUUGAGUGCAGAAGAGAAGAGUGGAAUUCCACGUGUAGCGGUGAAAUGCGUAGAGAUGUGGAGGAACACCAGUGGCGAAGGCGACUCUUUGGUCUGUAACUGACGCUGAGGCGCGAAAGCGUGGGGAGCAAACAGGAUUAGAUACCCUGGUAGUCCACGCCGUAAACGAUGAGUGCUAAGUGUUAGGGGGUUUCCGCCCCUUAGUGCUGCAGCUAACGCAUUAAGCACUCCGCCUGGGGAGUACGGCCGCAAGGCUGAAACUCAAAGGAAUUGACGGGGGCCCGCACAAGCAGUGGAUUAUGUGGUUUAAUUCGACGCAACGCGAAGAACCUUACCAGGGCUUGACAUCCAACUAACGAAGUAGAGAUACAUUAGGUGCCCUUCGGGGAAAGUUGAGACAGGUGGUGCAUGGUUGUCGUCAGCUCGUGUCGUGAGAUGUUGGGUUAAGUCCCGCAACGAGCGCAACCCUUAUCUUUAGUAGCCAGCGGUUUGGCCGGGCACUCUAGAGAGACUGCCAGGGAUAACCUGGAGGAAGGUGGGGAUGACGUCAAAUCAUCAUGCCCCUUAUGAUCAGGGCUACACACGUGCUACAAUGGCGUAAACAAAGGGAAGCAGAGCCGCGAGGCCGAGCAAAUCUCAAAAAUAACGUCUCAGUUCGGAUUGUAGUCUGCAACUCGACUACAUGAAGCUGGAAUCGCUAGUAAUCGCGAAUCAGAAUGUCGCGGUGAAUACGUUCCCGGGUCUUGUACACACCGCCCGUCA
Molecule: ribosomal RNA, 1412 nt
Filed under: uncultured bacterium
Lineage: Bacteria
Description: partial 16S ribosomal RNA
Rfam family: Bacterial small subunit ribosomal RNA
Source: RNAcentral